Long non-coding RNA from Orcinus orca (killer whale), 7990 nucleotides. RefSeq lists it as uncharacterized. The record is from RefSeq and is a predicted model, not a curated record. The transcript has 2 exons. Lineage: Eukaryota; Metazoa; Chordata; Mammalia; Artiodactyla; Delphinidae.
GAUGCUGACCUUUCUGACAGGCAGAGUCUUGGCAACAGAACACUUGACAGGUCCUGAGUCUGGAAGAGCUGGUGACGUUUAAGUGAAAAACAGAAAUGGCACAAAAAUAGUUUUAUUUGUGAUAAGGACUCACAGCCAGUUGCAGUUGGCCAGCAAGUCUGUGCUGCAUUAACAAACAGAACAGAGCCAGGCUGUCACUUUCAGCAUAAUGCUAUUCUGAUAACUCUUAAAAGAGACAAGUGAUUUAGUCUUUGGGGAUUGUAAUGUUCUCUUUUGAGACUUGAAGCAGUACAAAAAUCCAUGUUAAGUGAAGGUUGAUAGUUUAAAUUUAGUCUUGGUAAAAACUGAGUAAGUUCCCCUUCCCCGGUCUCAUGUUCCUGGCCUUUUAAUAGUUACAUUUCGGAAAGCAGGGCACCAGAGAACAAUUUUGAUGGCAAGUAGUUGUUUUCUAAUAAAAAGCACAUCCUUACUUUAUUCAUGGAAGUAAGAAAAGCAAUGUUAGGGUAAUAAUUUAAAUUGCUAUAGAAAUAUAAUGGAUUUUAAAGACAUCCGCUAAACUAAAUGACAGCCCCUUAGAGAAGGCUUAAUGUGUUGAUGGCAAGUUAUUACAGCUAAUUUGACAGGAGAAGAGGAGCAUAAAAACCUAAACAUGCCCAGAGCAGAUUUUCCGCCAACAGCGUUUUACUUGGUAACCAAUCUGUUUAUGCUGAAGCCAGUCACAGGUCAUCGAUAAAUGAUGUCUAGGAUUACUGUUCCAGUAGUCCCCUAUCUGCAAGCGACAACUAAAUACUGUUAGUCGUUGCUUGCAGAUAGGGGAUUACUGUAACAGCCCCACAAGAAGAACCCAGUGAGUGGUUCUCCAUGGGUGUUGGACUAUUUUGGACAGUCUUGCACAUCAAUUAAAAUGAAGAAUGAGUCUGACUUUCUUCUAUAAGAAAUGAUUCAUAAUUAUUUUCACAUUUGUUCUCUGGAUAGAGUUUGGUUCAAGAUUCUCUCAGUUCAAUGGCCAUGACUAGAGACUUUUAAUACCCAGAAAGUGAUAUAUGUCACUUAAAAAAAAAAAUUAAGGAACAAGUUCAGUAUGCAUGUUCUAAAUUUACUCUCAUGGAUUUAAAAAAAAAAAUUCCCCACCCCUUUUCAAGAUUUCUCACUGUGAACUUUAGAACUCACCCUGAGUCAGAGGAGAAGCCUUUCUCUGAGAUUUAACACGGGCCUUAAAAGAGAGUGCUGUGCUAGAGCAGACAGGUGUCUGCUUCUAAGGUUGCCGUAUCUUCUCAAAGGUCUUCUGGCCCCAAUAAGUACCAGCUCUUUAGCUGAUGAUAGUUUUCAGGGAAUAGAGGGCCAUGAAAUUGAAACUUGGAGGUGGAUUAAAUGUUGAAUUUUUUUCAAAUUGUCAAUUUUUCAGGUAUAAACUUGGAAAGGUGAUGCUAUAUUAUGUGGUGGGCUAUUGUGUCUGGGUGCACAUCUUUCCUGUAGGACCUCCUAACCAGUUUUAUAACAGGCAGCAAGGGUAGUUUGACACUAUGACUUUUACCUGAUUUCCAACCUUUAGGAACUUGGAAUAUGAGUUUUACUGCUUUUUUAUUUAUGAUUUUUACCUUUUUAACUAACAUUGCUUUGUCUUUUAUUAUCCAUUAAUGGUUACUUAAAAUUCUAGAAUAGGUUUCGUUUUUAGAAAUUGUGAAAUUUUGCAUUUUUUCAGGUUGCAGUAUAGCAAAUUAUUGCCCCCAUUUUGUGUGUGUGUGUGUGUGUGUGUGUGUGGGGUUAAACAAUAGCUUAUUUCUCAGGGGGAGCGCUGGCUGGUAGUGAUACCAUUCUACCUAUUUGCCUGUCAGUUGUUGACUUGAGCCAAAAGAUGGUAGGUGCAGCUACUCUCAUAAGUUGGGUUACUGUUUAACUGAAUUUCAGUGAGUUACUGUGAUCUCAGAAAUAACUCAGGGAGUCAAGAGUAAGUCAGAGGAGAAGUCUUUCUCUGAGAUUUAACACUGGCCUUAAAAGCAUCACUUACUGCUGAGAUAGAAACUAAAGAGUAAGAAGGAUUGACUAGCUGAUGAUACAACAUACAGAAAAACAGGAACCUGUGGACUGACUUGCUCUUGUCAGCAUCUCCUGCAGCUGUUCAGCAGGCCCUAUUUGCCUGGCACCAAAGGGAGCACCAGGGAAGGAUAAUAGUUGAAGGUUUCUAUACUUCUGAAAUAUGAGAAUAGGGAAGAAAUACAUGGUACUUAAGGCAAAAAGGAAGAAGAAACCCUGUUCUGGUCCCACUCACCCAGGAUCGUAUAGAAGAAUGCUCCAGUCCAAGUGCUGCCUGGUGGUUCCUCUGCCGCUCCAGAGGCCCUCCAUACCCCUCAGCGGAGACUCACCUUACCAGCACACAUUCCAAAGGGUAGUCACAGCUAAGUGCACACCCCGUGAUCGCUUUGAAACUUUCCCUUACUUAUCCCACAGUGAUAUUUUCCUUCUGAAUCAUUGCAAUAUUUAAUGCUUGUCUGCACCAGACUGGAUGAGGGAAAAGAAGCUUUUUUUUGGUGCCAGGCAUUAGACAAGGUUGUAUUCAAUCUUCACAACCUUCCUGUGGGGUAAAUACAGCUGCUUCACUUUAUAGAUUAGAAACUUGGCCAGAGAAAUAUGGAUAAUAGUUACAGGAGAAGCGUCUGCCAUUUCUGUAGCACCUGAUUCAGUGCUAGUCACAGAGAUGUGUAAGGCAUGGAGACAUAGCAGAUUCUGGCUCUUAAUCCAGAGAUCCCGGCUCACCAGUCUGCACCGUUUUGCCCUCCUGCAUCAUGGCAGUUGUGUGGCUCUCUUAUUCAUGGUAUUUUCCAGAAUUUGAUUCUUCUCUUAAUACCUGUCAUACGUUUCCAGUGGUCAGGGAAUCUGUUAGGUGACAGUGGCACUAAGGGAGAUCCAUUAAAAACCCAUCGUGAAUCUAUCACAAGUUGUGACUUAAAUAACUUAACCCUAACUCUGAACCUCGGUUUCCACACCUCUAAAAUGGGAAUGAUAUUAGUAACUGCCUCGGAAGGUUUGUGUGAGGACUAAAUAAUGAAUGUUAUAAUCCCAGCAGAGAGGAAGUGCACAAUAAAUGGUAGCUUUUAUCAUUGUUGUCAUGCUUUUGUCUUUGGAAAUAAAAAUCCUCUAUCAUCUCCUGGGGUUAAUGCGGUCAGUGGAUAUGCUACCCUAUUUACGACACAGUUAUUCCUUUUCUUUGUCUAGUGUCCAGGGUUCCCUUGGUUCUGGUGUCUGGGGAUUGCCGAACACGUCCUGGUUCACCUGUCCUUACCCCUCGUGGUUAUGAGUGCUUCAUGAGUGCUUGACUCGGGUCAGCCAUAAAGCAGAGGCCACACAGUUUAGAGAGCCUUUGCUAGCAGGGAAUCACGGGAUUGCCAGGGAAUAGAUUUUCGUAUUACCUGUAUGUGUUAGGAGUACAGACUUUUUUUUAGUUCAUGGUAUGAUACAUUAUUUUUUUAAAACUACAAACCCAGAGGUGCAGACCUUAGUUGUAUACGUAUUCAUUUUCCCUCUAAAAAAAGAAUUUUUAAAAUCUGAGCAUGUGAAUUACAUUUUGUUAUUUAGGGUUCAACACUUGAUUAAGUUACUCUGCAUAGUAAUAGGAGAGUGAUUUAUGACCUGUAAAGAUUUUUGCUUCAAGGCAAAAUUGUGCAUUUCUCAUGGAUGUAAACGUCUUCUGUGUAGCACCACACAUGCACGUGUGUGUGUGUGUGUGUGUGCGUGCGCACGUGUCCAUGUUUUGGUUCAUUUUAUGUUUCAGGGGUUGUGAUGUUGGUAUGACUACCGGUACCAAUGGUUUACCCAUUUGCAUGUGGAUUCCUUUAGCUCUCCAGUUUGCCUUCUCUGAUGAGGUGAGGAGUUGUCAUUUUAACCAACUGAAACAACACUUUUGAAGAUUAUGGCAAGGUCUCAUUUUUUUCUUCAUUUAAUCCAGAUGCCUCAUGAAGACUUCAGCCUCUAUGUCUAUAUACAUAUGAUAGUUAAUAAUUGGGCCUAUAAAGGUCUUUGUAAGAGGCUUUGCCGAAGCAUCUGCAGAGCCCUUACAGUGCUUGACAUGUGUCUGAACAUUGGGGUAUUAGGGGAUCAGGUCGAGUAACGAAGUUGAUGCAGAAAUUGUGGUGGCUUUUGUAUUAUCUUUUUAUAUAUCUUUAUAUAAAUAUUCUCUUUCUAAUCAUAAAGACACGUGCAGUUUGUCUUCUAUGUCAGUUAAUUCAAUUUUAUGUAAAAGCUCUGGCAGUUGGAGCUUGGCCUUGCAGAGCAGUUUGUUGUACAGUUCACCUGCGCGGUCACGCUUUAGAUUCCUUUUGGACUUAUGGCGGAGGCCGUUCUGGAUUCUCCAAGCCGGUGGAGGGCAGCCAUCUCUGGGUUAUGGGGAUGCUGAUUUGUUUCCUGCUGUGCUGCCAAGACUCCUUUCUCUUCUCCCCCCACACCUGUGAAAAGAAGGCAGUUUUGGUUGUCUGUGGCCUAAAGUAGAGAUACCACAAGGUUCUGUUGGCUGGGGAUGGGAAGAAUGGAAGUAGGGGAUGAGGGAGAAUUUGAAACCCCUCAGUGGAAAUCUCUCUGAGGUAGAGACCGGCAGGAAGGCAGCCCAGAUCAUCCAUCCUUGUCCUCUAGAGGCUAACGAGCACUGUCUCUUGCUGAGCCGCCCGAGGAGGAGGAGGGCUGAGGGCGCUCUCCUGUGUCUUCAUCUAGACCUGGCUCUGAGUCCAGGAGGGAUGUGAAGGCAUUUUAAACGUGCUCCCUCCCUGUAAUCUCACGUUUGAAACCCCAUAGUGGGUGGUAUAAAGAGGCUUAAUAAUUAGUUUCUAGUUGACCACACUGUGGCUUAUGUAUACUAAAGCAGACCUUAGAACAUGGCUCAUUGUUUUUGAGUACUUGGUUUGGCAACUAGGUUUUUAAUUCAGUAUAAAAAAUAGGCAUUUUGCCCUUAGUGUGUAUCAAUUAUGCAACUCCUAAGAGGACACCAAAAAAGCCGUUCUGUGUCUUCCAGAAGCUAAGUGCCCCAGGAGCGGUACAUGAUUAGUUCUAGCUUUAUCUCGGGUACCGAAUGCCUCUGUUCUCAGGCAGAGCCGAAGGACUAGGCGUGGACGGAUGGGAUGUCUCACUCAGGUUCAAGGAGUGAUUUGACAGGAUGGGCCUCUUGCGGAGUGUCUUCCUGACAGUCAGGGCCAUAAAGUUUUCAUGAGUUUCACUUGAAGCGUGAAUUUGUGAUUUCAGUUGUAUUUGGUGUCACUCCUGGAGUAAUUGGACACAAGCAUGAAGCACAUGCUCAGUAAAGUUCUGAUUAGUAAAAUGGGUGCGAGCUACAAAAAUACUAAGUUUGGAGGCAUGGAAAAUGUGACUGGUCAUUCUCUCACAGGCAGUAAGCUUUACUGUCUAUUUCUGUGAAAUUAGUUUAACCUACGAUUAGUUUAAUCUUUUGAACUUUAUCCCACGUUUACUUCUUCCAUUUAACAGUUAGCACUUGCCCAACCAGUUAGGAAUCUCCUGCCCUGAACCCUUCCGAGUCCUUUGUUGAUGACCUGCUCAUGGAACUUGGUGUGUCCUGCGUCAGGGUGGCGGUUCACGGGUUCAUACUCCCUUCCUUCCCCCACCUCCUCGUCCCCCCAUCACUCUCUGAACUCUCAACCGUAGGCUCUGUGUCUGGCUCACUUGGUAUGUGCAGUGCUGAGCACGGGGUUUGCUCAUAGUAGAUACUUACAGAUACUUAGUAAGUAUUUGCUGAAUUCAAGUUAACUAUCUUAAACCAAAUAAAAAUCAGUGUUGGACUUGCCAUGUACUUACAGAGAAUAUAAUGUCCAGUGUUGGUCUGUCCAAAUGGCUACCAAAAUCUAAACCAAAUUGAGGGAAUUGUAGCAUCAGGCUUUGCUUGAAAUUUCGGUACGCAUACUCCACAUACAUUCUGUAAUCGUGUGUUGAUAUUUACUGAUGGGGGCGCUGGCAACAGCCACAGCAGUACAUUUAUUUUUAACUUUCUUAGUGAACUCUGGGUUGGAAACUUAACAUUACGAAAUCAGCAGCUGAAAUUGAGCGUUCAGAUUGCCUAAAAUUGAAAAAUUGAAAUAUGAAGGGAGCAUGAGCCUUAUAAAAACUGCUGUGUCCUUGCAAAAUAUUAACGCUGGUUAGAUGUAACUUAUACCUAUUCUGUCUUUAUCCCAACACAUUUUAAAUAGGAAAAAGUGUAUGUGCAGUUGACAUGUAGGAUGAAGCUGUGAGAGGACUACAUUUUUAGGAAAUGAGUUUGCAGAAUGCCUUUGGGUGGUUUUUUCCCCCCUCUUUUGCAUUUGUGUGUAUUUAUUUGUCACAGAUAGGAGGAAGUAGUUCUUGUGGAGAGCAUGGGCUGAUUGCUCACCGUUCCAAUUAAACACCCUGCGUUUUGUUUAGUUACGUUGUGUGGCUUCAGUAUACAUUACUCUCCCUUAGGCCUCAUCCACAUACCUCAGAGUAACCUAAUAUGUGUCGUUAAAUUAAAAACAUGAUUUGAGCUUAGGGGUUUCAUUUAUAGUUAGAAAAGUGAAAUGUAAGGAAUUCAGUGAAUACACAAACUAUUUAAAUACAAUUUUGGAAACAUUUCACAGCGAGCUAGUAUUACAGAUGAAAUUUAAAAUCGUGUAGAGAUGGGUGAUCAUUUUGGGUUCUUAUGUUAGCCCAUGACUUUAUUUUUUAUAGAACUUCUGAUUCUUAUCUUUUGGUGACCAACCAUUCUUUACCUUUUAUUUUCGAUCGUUUUUUUAAAUUUUCAUGCUAUAAUCUGUAUAAAACUUGUAUUUUCAUUAGCAGAAUAAUUUUAUUUACUGCUACAUUAGGUUAGGAAGUGUUAGGUUUGGGCUGGAUUGGAAUUAGGUGUGAAUGAUCUGAAUUCAGAUUUUGCCUUUAUUUGCUUUGGAGUUAUUUUUUCAAAUGAUGGAGGAGGAAAGAAUCAGAAAACAUUUGUAUUGUUUAAGGCCAAAGAGGAAACUUUGCUUUGCGCCAGCAGCAAGCUCCCCGAAGGCUGAAACUCCUUUGGGUUCUCUGGAUUCUAAAACACUGCUCUGAAUGUGGGGUCGCAAAUACUUGUCCCAUUGAGAUUUUUCACAUUUUUUUAAAGGUUACACAUUUUUUCACAAGAAUACUUCUGAUAACUCUGAAGCUGAUAAUACUUUACAUGUAUACCUUGUUUUUGCUUUAGAAGUUUAAGAUGAGGAAAAAUUAAAUGUGGGCUGAACUGAAGUUACGUAUUAAAGAUCUUAAUUCAGCUUUUAGCUUGAUUUUAUUUAGCUUUGAUUUAUGAAACAUCAAAAAGAAAAGAAGCAGGAAAAUAUUUAGAUUGUUUAUAGUCAAAGAUGAAUGAAGAUUUAAAAUAGUACCCAGAUAAUUUAGGGCGAAGUAAAUCUUUGUCCUAAAAUACUCAGCUGAAGGCAAAAACUUUUUUAGAGUCUGUUUUUCAAGCGUGUUAAUUUUUUUUUUCUGAUUAUAAAAUACAUAUUUAUGAAGUUUUGAAAAUAAAAGUCAGUUGUAGUCUCAGCAUUUAAUUACCGCUAUUUGUUAUAUUUCUUAAUUCACAUAGUUUAUUUUGCUGUAGAUGUUUAUAUUAUACAUAGAUACCUAUUUAUAUUGGUAUUAUGAUUUUUUUUUCUUCACAUUCUUUGAAAAGAUGGUUUUUAAUGGCUGUAUGCAUAGUAGCCGAUUGCUUGGAAGAACUAUGAGGUAUUUCACCAACUCUCUUUCAGUGGGUGUUUAGUAAGUCCAAGGUUUCGCUGUUCUGAAAAAAUCUAGUGUUAUUUUCUUACCUGAUGAAUUGGGAUGCAUUUCUGAAAGUGGAAUUAUCAAGUUAAAGGGUAUAUGGUAUAUAUAGGAUACGAGCAGCUUUAAAACUUUUUAACUACGUAGUGUCAGACCCCACCCCAGAAAGAUUAUGCCAAAAGGAUUCUUUUACCUUUUAUUUACCACAUGUAGUCAAGUUUACUAUUUUCUGUGUCAUCAUUAAAGAGACUUCUAUUUA